This 426-nucleotide ribosomal RNA is filed under the name uncultured bacterium. RNAcentral describes it as "bacterial SSU rRNA". It matches the Rfam family "Bacterial small subunit ribosomal RNA", at positions 355 to 774 of the family's 1533-position model. The record is from RNAcentral.
UGGGGAAUUUUGGACAAUGGGCGAAGCCUAAUCCAGCCAUGCCGCGUGAGUGAAGAAGGCCUUCGGGUUGUAAAGCUCUUUUAGUCGGAAAGAAAGAGUUGCAAUGAAUAAUUGUGAUUUAUGACGGUACCGACAGAAAAAGCACCGGCUAACUACGUGCCAGCAGCCGCGGUAAUACGUAGGGUGCGAGCGUUAAUCGGAAUUACUGGGCGUAAAGGGUGCGCAGGCGGUCUUGCAAGUCAGAUGUGAAAGCCCCGGGCUUAACCUGGGAAUUGCGUUUGAAACUACAAGGCUAGAGUGCAGCAGAGGGGAGUGGAAUUCCAUGUGUAGCAGUGAAAUGCGUAGAGAUGUGGAAGAACACCGAUGGCGAAGGCAGCUCCCUGGGUUGACACUGACGCUUAUGCACGAAAGCGUGGGGAGCAAACA